GACGAACGCUGGCGGCGUGCUUAACACAUGCAAGUCGAACGGAAAGGCCCUGCUUUUGUGGGGUGCUCGAGUGGCGAACGGGUGAGUAACACGUGAGUAACCUGCCCUUGACUUUGGGAUAACUUCAGGAAACUGGGGCUAAUACCGGAUAGGAGCUCCUGCUGCAUGGUGGGGGUUGGAAAGUUUCGGCGGUUGGGGAUGGACUCGCGGCUUAUCAGCUUGUUGGUGGGGUAGUGGCUUACCAAGGCUUUGACGGGUAGCCGGCCUGAGAGGGUGACCGGCCACAUUGGGACUGAGAUAGGGCCCAGACUCCAACGGGAGGCAGCAGUGGGGAAUAGUGCACAAUGGGCGGAAGCCUGAUGCAGCAACGCCGCGUGCGGGAUGACGGCCUUCGGGUUGUAAACCGCUUUCGCCUGUGACGAAGCGUGAGUGACGGUAAUGGGUAAAGAAGCACCGGCUAACUACGUG
This 468-nucleotide ribosomal RNA is filed under the name uncultured bacterium. Its description in RNAcentral is "partial 16S ribosomal RNA". It matches the Rfam family "Bacterial small subunit ribosomal RNA", at positions 28 to 507 of the family's 1533-position model. The record is from RNAcentral.